GAUGAUGUGGCAAAAGAUUUUUGAAAAAACUGCAGUUGAUCGGAAUCAAAGGAAAUACUGAAGGUAAUUUCUUACAUUUUAUCUGAAUUUCUAAGGAAAAUUUGUAUAUAGUAUAAAAAUGUAGUGUAUCACAUAUGUGUGACGCGUGGUAGCGAGAAGAUAAUAAGCAGUAAUAACAUAGGUCUAACAAUAAUCAUUACAAAGUAAAUAAUAUGUUAAUUAGGCUGUAUUAGUUCAACAGCUGCGAUGAUGGAAAUUUGGAGGAUGGGGGGGGGGUGUAAGUUUGGAGGAGAUUACAACAGAUGAGUUAUGAUAUUUAACGUCAUGGUGAAGAGUAUAAUGAAAUAUGGGAGACAGAAGAAAGGAGAGAAAUGGAAGCAGUACAAGAAAGGUAUCUAAGAGCAGUAUUAGUGACUGGAGAGGUGCACAUCUACAGUAGGAUAUUUAGACAAGAAACGAAGACGGGGAAAAUACUUCUGGGGUCAGGAGAAAGGUACAUAAAAUAUGAAGAUAUGAAGAAGAGAUUAGAAGAUCAGAAAACUCACUACUUGAGGAGUGCAGACGGCUCAUUGAUAGGGAAAAAUGAAAUAACAUGAGCCAUAGAAUAGCAAGAGAGAGAUUUAAAGGAAAAUAGGAACGAGCAGAUGGGAAAUGGAAAACAGAAACAAUCUUUCAUUUAUUACAUAUACAUAUCAGGUUACGCUACUCAACGUCGAGCUCUAUGUUGUGUUGAAGCGUACAACGUUAGGACCGAUGACAGCCUAUCAAUUAGGACGAAAGAAGGUAUGUACCUACGAGAGGAAGGGAAAGUCAAGAAGAUUAACAAAGUUAGGUUCGGAUUAGGGAACGAGUGGAGGAUGAGUAAACUCCGGAUGAAGAAAAGAAGGAAUGCGGUAUAUGUGGGAAGGGGGAGGGAAUAGGAGAACACGUUAUAGCGCAAUGUGAAUAUACAACAGUGGGUGAACGAACAGAGAAUCUUAUCGAUGAAGAGGUUAAUGGAAUAGGAUGGAUGAAGAAGGUGAUGGAUAAAAGGGGAUGAGUAAAUGAAUCCCAACAGGGAACAAGAGUCUAUAGCACAUUUUGGUCAACAUUGAGUGAACAGUAUAAUAUGAUUCUAAGGUCCCUGUAGAUCAUUUUACUACACACAAAUUGUAGAUUACAUCGCAGUAAGGAAAGACGAUAUAAUUUUGAAAACAAGAAGCGUGUUAGGCGUUUGGAAUUUUUUUUAUUAUUGUUCAUCGUCGUCUUUAAUUAUUUCGCUUCGUUGUAAUAAAUACCGAAAUAAAAUGUAUCAUUACGACGUA
Molecule: long non-coding RNA, 1304 nt
Organism: Bombus pascuorum
Lineage: Eukaryota; Metazoa; Arthropoda; Insecta; Hymenoptera; Apidae
Exons: 2
Source: RefSeq, a predicted model, not a curated record